Molecule: ribosomal RNA, 491 nt
Filed under: uncultured bacterium
Lineage: Bacteria
Description: partial 16S ribosomal RNA
Rfam family: Bacterial small subunit ribosomal RNA
Source: RNAcentral
GUGAACGCUGGCGGUAGGCCUAACACAUGCAAGUCGAACGGCAGCACAGUAAGAGCUUGCUCUUACGGGUGGCGAGUGGCGGACGGGUGAGGAAUACAUCGGAAUCUACUUUUUCGUGGGGGAUAACGUAGGGAAACUUACGCUAAUACGGCAUACGACCUACGGGUGAAAGCAGGGGAUCUUCGGACCUUGCGCGAUUGAAUGAGCCGAUGUCGGAUUAGCUAGUUGGCGGGGUAAAGGCCCACCAAGGCGACGAUCCGUAGCUGGUCUGAGAGGAUGAUCAGCCACACUGGAACUGAGACACGGUCCAGACUCCUACGGGAGGCAGCAGUGGGGAAUAUUGGACAAUGGGCGCAAGCCUGAUCCAGCCAUACCGCGUGGGUGAAGAAGGCCUUCGGGUUGUAAAGCCCUUUUGUUGGGAAAGAAAAGCAGCAGGUUAAUACCCCGCUGUUCUGACGGUACCCAAAGAAUAAGCACCGGCUAACUUCGUG